This 594-nucleotide ribosomal RNA is filed under the name uncultured bacterium. RNAcentral describes it as "bacterial SSU rRNA". The stretch from base 1 to 520 matches the Rfam family "Bacterial small subunit ribosomal RNA", at positions 338 to 873 of the family's 1533-position model. The record is from RNAcentral.
CCUACGGGAGGCAGCAGUAAGGAAUCUUCCACAAUGGACGAAAGUCUGAUGGAGCAACGCCGCGUGCAGGAUGAAGGCUUUCGGGUCGUAAACUGCUUUUAUAUGGGAAGAUUAUGACGGUACCAUAUGAAUAAGGACCGGCUAACUACGUGCCAGCAGCCGCGGUAAUACGUAGGGUCCAAGCGAUAUCCGGAAUUACUGGGCGUAAAGCGUGUGUAGGUGGAUUAAUAAGUGUGAUGCGAAAUCCGGCGGCUCAACCGUUUGGACUGUGUCGCAUACUGUUAGUCUAGAGGACGGCAGAGGUAAGUGGAAUUACGGGUGUAGCAGUGAAAUGCGUAGAUAUCCGUAGGAACACCAAUGGCGAAGGCAGCUUACUGGGCCACACCUGACACUGAGACACGAAAGCGUGGGGAGCGAACAGGAUUAGAUACCCUGGUAGUCCACGCCGUAAACGAUGCAUACUAUUAGUAUGGGGUAUCGACCCCCUGUGCUGAGAAGCUAACGCGAUAAGUAUGCCGCCGNGGGAGGUACGAGCGCAGACUAAACUACGAAGAAGUAGACGCGUGAGAGUGCGAGACGACGACGAGGGAGAGG